This 548-nucleotide ribosomal RNA is filed under the name uncultured Glomeromycotina. Its description in RNAcentral is "SSU rRNA". It matches the Rfam family "Eukaryotic small subunit ribosomal RNA", at positions 548 to 1097 of the family's 1831-position model. Lineage: Eukaryota; Fungi; Glomeromycota. The record is from RNAcentral.
UUGGAGGGCAAGUCUGGUGCCAGCAGCCGCGGUAAUUCCAGCUCCAAUAGCGUAUAUUAAAGUUGUUGCAGUUAAAAAGCUCGUAGUUGAAUUUCGGGAUCAAUUUAUUGGUCGUACCAACGGUACGCACUGGUACAAUUGGUUUCUCCCUUCUGACGAAGCAUGAUGUCAUUAAUUUGAUGUCGUGGGGAAUCAGGACUGUUACUUUGAAAAAAUUAGAGUGUUUAAAGCAGGCUUUGGCUUGAAUACAUUAGCAUGGAAUAAUGAAAUAGGACGUUUGAUCUUAUUUCGUUGGUUUCUAAGAUCGACGUAAUGAUUAAUAGGGAUAGUUGGGGGCAUUAGUAUUCAAUUGUCAGAGGUGAAAUUCUUGGAUUUAUUGAAGACUAACUACUGCGAAAGCAUUUGCCAAGGAUGUUUUCAUUAAUCAAGAACGAAAGUUAGGGGAUCGAAGACGAUCAGAUACCGUCGUAGUCUUAACCAUAAACUAUGCCGACUAGGGAUCGGAUGAUGUUAAUUUUUUAAUGACUCAUUCGGCGCCUUACGGGAAA